RNAcentral lists this ribosomal RNA (253 nucleotides) under uncultured bacterium. RNAcentral's name for it is "partial 16S ribosomal RNA". It matches the Rfam family "Bacterial small subunit ribosomal RNA", at positions 524 to 776 of the family's 1533-position model. The record is from RNAcentral.
UACGAACUUUGCAAACGUUAUUCGGAAUCACUGGGCUUAAAGGGUGCGUAGGCGGCUGUCUAAGUAGGGUGUGAAAGCCCCCGGCUCAACUGGGGAAUUGCGCCCUAAACUGGAUGGCUGGAGUGAGACAGGGGUGUGUGGAACUUCCGGUGGAGCGGUGAAAUGUGUUGAUAUCGGAAGGAACGCCGGUGGCGAAAGCGACACACUGGGUCUCAACUGACGCUGAGGCACGAAAGCCAGGGGAGCAAACGGG